Molecule: ribosomal RNA, 253 nt
Filed under: uncultured bacterium
Lineage: Bacteria
Description: partial 16S ribosomal RNA
Rfam family: Bacterial small subunit ribosomal RNA
Source: RNAcentral
UACGUAGGGUGCAAGCGUUAAUCGGAAUUACUGGGCGUAAAGCGUGCGCAGGCGGUUUUGUAAGUCUGUCGUGAAAGCCCCGGGCUUAACCUGGGAAUGGCAUUGGAAACUGGCGGGCUUGAGUGCGGCAGAGGGGGGUGGAAUUCCGCGUGUAGCAGUGAAAUGCGUAGAGAUGCGGAGGAACACCGAUGGCGAAGGCAGCCCCCUGGGUCGACACUGACGCUCAGGCACGAAAGCGUGGGGAGCAAACAGG